AGGGCUUCAUCACUGCUGGUGACUUAAUCAUGCCCGUCUGAAUAAAAGCCAUAUUUGCCCAGCAGCUAAACAGUGAAUGUGUUAAUGCACUAAUCCUCCAUAUGUUGGAGGCCGUCCACACGAAAACGCUCUUUUGUGUUUUCGUGUGGACGGCGAAUCUGCAAACGUUCAUCGCUCCACCUCUCGACCUCUGAACCCCGCGACGUCUCCUAACAACAACAACAACAACAACAAUGGCGGACUACAUGUUGUGUUCGUGUUUCCUGCAACUUACUCGCCUUAUAGUUGAGUUGUCCCACAUGCUGCUCUACAUUACUACAACACGAACAGAAGUUGACAAUUCACCGGCUGCCCGUAGCUGUCGGAGUCUCAGCGUUACACUAGCCGACUGUGUUUGUUUCGGACUGACGCCCGGCAUCAUUACUUCACCUCAGCGGGGGUCCGCCUGACGUCUCGUCAUUAUAAAAACAACACAACCUCUGGCAGAACGCACCGAGAGGCCCGGCCAGCAGGCGGUCACGUCUGCUGAAACAAUGGCAGUGACGGAGAGAGUUAGAGGCUCCUGCACUUCAUUUUACAUGCACGCCCUCACUCAUCCGCCACGCCAUUUCCAAUAACGGCCAAGUCAGGUCUCUCUGCAAGCACUUAUCCCAGUUUAAUAACAAGAACCAGAGUCACAGCGAGCGGGGGAACAGGAUGAGAGAGGCUGCAGGAGAGGAGACGAGCACCAGGCGCUACCAUGUCAGACUGACAAAAGGAAAUGAGGAGGGACAGGAGGAUGAGAAAACUAAGGUGAAGGAGGAUGAGCUUAAUAUGUGCACAGCUACAGCUCGGAGGAAAGGAGGGAGGAAGAGGAAGAGGAGGGAAGGGGAACGGAGAAGCAUUGUUCUGCAAGGUCAACUGUCUCCAUCAGUGCCAGUCUGAAAACACAGCGAGAGCCUCGGAGGCUGAUUCCUCGUUCAUUCACGACUCAGUUAAAAGUUUCCUGAUGACAGAUUAAACUGUGAUAAAGAGGAGAAGGAUGCUGACAUCACUCUGUACAUGUUUGUUUUCUGGAGACAACAAUGAAUCAGCUGAUUGAACAGUUGCUAAUCACAAAUAUGUUUUUAUCAAUCUUCCUCAUUUCCUUCAGCUUUAGCCUCCCAAUUUCACAGAAAACAAUUUAAAAACUCCAACAAAGUCCAGCUGUGUUGAAGGGUGUCUGGCAGAUCAGCAGGCUCGAGGCAGAAACCGCAAUCUCAAAACUCAGCGAGAUUAAAUCGAGCAUGACCUCGUGUCCCGUCAG
Long non-coding RNA from Acanthopagrus latus (yellowfin seabream), 1285 nucleotides. RefSeq lists it as uncharacterized. Lineage: Eukaryota; Metazoa; Chordata; Actinopteri; Spariformes; Sparidae. The record is from RefSeq and is a predicted model, not a curated record. The transcript has 3 exons.